AGUGAACGCUGGCGGUAGGCCUAACACAUGCAAGUCGAACGGCAGCACAGUAAGAGCUUGCUCUUACGGGUGGCGAGUGGCGGACGGGUGAGGAAUACAUCGGAAUCUACUUUUUCGUGGGGGAUAACGUAGGGAAACUUACGCUAAUACCGCAUACGACCUACGGGUGAAAGCAGUGGAUCUUCGGACCUUGCGCGAUUGAAUGAGCCGAUGUCGGAUUAGCUAGUUGGCGGGGUAAAGGCCCACCAAGGCGACGAUCCGUAGCUGGUCUGAGAGGAUGAUCAGCCACACUGGAGCUGAGACACGGUCCAGAGUCCUACGGGAGGCAGCAGUGGGGAAUAUUGGACAAUGGGCGCAAGCCUGAUCCAGCCAUACCGCGUGGGUGAAGAAGGCCUUCGGGUUGUAAAGCCCUUUUGUUGGGAAAGAAAAGCAGCAGGUUAAUACCCCGCUGUUCUGACGGUACCCAAAGAAUAAGCACCGGCUAACUUCGUG
RNAcentral lists this ribosomal RNA (492 nucleotides) under uncultured bacterium. RNAcentral describes it as "partial 16S ribosomal RNA". It matches the Rfam family "Bacterial small subunit ribosomal RNA", at positions 29 to 507 of the family's 1533-position model. The record is from RNAcentral.